UGCAGCUCACUGGGUGGAAGGGCAGAAAUUCCUGUUCUCAGUCCUGCUGCAACUUUACCAAAGACUUCCAACAGCAACAUGAAGUUGGGAGGCCUCCUCCUCCUUGUGACCCUCAUCACCCUCAGCUUGGAGGUACAGGAGCUUCAGGCUGCAGUGAGACCCUUUCAUAUUUUGGGCACCUGUGUUGAGCUCUGCAGCGGUGACUGGGACUGUGACCCAGAGGAGCGCUGUGUCAGCAACGGCUGUGGCCACAUCUGUGCUUCAGUCUAAGGACAGAUGAAGACUUAUCUUAAGGGUCAUCCCUUUCUAUUGCUCAUCCCUUCCUGGAGUUUCUAUCUUCAAAGAUGUGAUUGUUUGGAGCUCCUGCUCAGGAAGACAGAUGAAAAUGGAAGCUUGUGAAUGGAGAUUACAAGGGAUGUGGGAGUGAAGGAAAAAGAAUUGCUUCUUUUAAUAAAUCAUCAUCAAAAGUA
Molecule: long non-coding RNA, 470 nt
Organism: Equus quagga
Lineage: Eukaryota; Metazoa; Chordata; Mammalia; Perissodactyla; Equidae
Exons: 3
Source: RefSeq, a predicted model, not a curated record